GUAGAUAGGUAGACAGGUACGUAGACAGGUAGACAGGUACGUUGAUAGGUAGACAGGUACGUUGAUAGGUAGACAGGUAGACAGAUACGUCGAUAGGUAGACAGGUACGUAGAUAGGUAGACAGGUAGACAGGUACGUAGAUAGGUAGAUAGGUAGACAGGUAGACAGGUACGUUGACAGGUAGACAGGUAGACAGAUACGUCGAUAGGUAGACAGGUACGUAGAUAGGUAGACAGGUACGUAGAUAGGUAGACAGGUAGACAGGUAUGUUGAUGGGUAGACAGGUAGACAGGUACGUUGAUAGGUAGACAGGUACGUCGAUAGGUAGACAGGUAGACAGGUAGAUAGGUAGACAGGUAGACAGGUACGUCAAUAGGUAGACAGGUAGACAGGUAGACAGGUAAGAGUCUGAGGAUUAGCAGCUGAACCUUAAUAAGACCUUAAAGUCCGUCCUGGCUUCCUGUGGAUCUGUCGAUCAUACCGUGGCUUCUUGUUGGUUUUCUC
Molecule: long non-coding RNA, 504 nt
Organism: Sebastes umbrosus (honeycomb rockfish)
Lineage: Eukaryota; Metazoa; Chordata; Actinopteri; Perciformes; Sebastidae
Exons: 3
Source: RefSeq, a predicted model, not a curated record